UAUUAUAUUAAUUUAAAUAUAAGUUAAAUUUUCAUUUGCUUUUGGAUCCAGUCAAUUCUCAUUUUUAAAGUUAUUAUUAAUUGUAAUAUAAAUUAAACUUUAGCAACCCGUUAUAUAUAUUUUAUAUUUAAACGUUGUUAUCCAAAUAGUCGCUUUUAUUGUAAUUUUUUAUUAAAAGGUACGUAUUAAUUUUUAUAAAUUAAUACGCAAAAAUAUAUUUUAUUAUUAACUUUUGAUAGAACAAGUAUUAUUUUAUUUUAUUAUAUAGUUUUAAUUUGGGUGUUUCCCCAUUUUCUGCUCCGAGUUACGCUUUUACCCCUAUAUUAAUAUCCCCCUACACGUUUCCUCGAUUCUUUUUUAUUUUAUUAUACGUAGUAAUAAUAGUUAAAAGAAUAUUAAUAUUUUUAAUAUAUUACGCCGUUUUUAUAAAAUAUUUGAAUUUCUACAUUGUUAAUAAAUACUUGUAUUUUUGCAGUAAUUAGACAUUUUUUACCCAGGGUAUUAGGGUAAUUAAAGUUAAUAUAACUCCCUAUUUUAAUAUAAUUUUUAUUUAACCCGUUAUUUUGAAAACUUAUAUUAACUGUAAUAAUAUUAACACUUUGAUUUACGCCGUGGGACGCGUUGAUAAACCCGUGUCCAACCGCUGUUUGCAGACUUUUAAUAUAAAACUUUCAACUAGGCGAGAUAAUUUAUAAUCCGCAAAUCUUUAGGAGGGUUGCAACGUUUGCUUUUUUUGGGUUUUUAAAAGAAAAGCGAUUUUGUUUUAUUUAAUAAAUAAAUACAAAAGGGUUUUUGCAAAAUAUUUACAAUUUGAAAGUAAAUUUACUAUUAUUAUAUUAUGUUCAAUUGGUGCGCAAAUAAAUUUUGCAAAUAUAUUAAUUGCAUAUUAAUUUACAAAGCGCUUUUCUAUUUUAAUUAGUAAUUUUCGUAAACUUUGGCUAGUAACGUUCAAUAUGCUAUUUAUUAAGUAAAUACAAAAUCCGCAGUAAAUUUUAUAUUUAAAUCCUUUUAUAUAUUUUCAAAUGUAAAUUAGAGAUAAUUAUAUAAUAUAUUUAAACUGGAAUUUGUUAAGGGGUUACCGUGUUGUUAAAAGGUUUUAAUUUAUCUAUUUUAUUAUACGGAUAGCGUAUUUAACCUUUUUAAUUGAAAAAUUUAAAUAUUACCAAAUAACCCUUCUGGGCGGUUUAUAUUAUAUUUAAAAACAACUUAAUAUAAAUAAAAAUAAAUUUGUUAAAUUUUCCCUAUUAUAUAAUUUAGUUUAAAUAGAAUUUUAAAUAGGUUUUGCGGAUUAAUAAUAGCGGUUAUACUUUUAUAAGUAUAAUAGACAUUCUUUUUUAAAAGACGUUUUAUAUUAUAUAUUGCUAAUUAUAUAAAUAAAUACCGCGAGAUUUAUUUGAGAAGAUUAUUUAAUUUAUCCUAAUAAUUUCUUUUAUACGGGCCGCGCUUUAAAAAGCCCCAGGCGCUAUUACGUUUCCGGGGGGUAAUUCUAAAAAGUGUUUUUAUUAUACCCCGGCAAUUUAAGCUGGUAUAUUCUCGGCUUUUGUCUAAUAUUAUAAAGAAAUAUAUUAUUUGCAAUUUAUAUCUUAUUUAAUUAUAUUUGCGGAGCUGUAAUAAUAUACGUUUGUACUAGUAAUUUUAUAUAAUAAUAUAUUUAAUAUUAAAAGUUAGUAAAAUGAAGCAUUUAUAAGUCUUAAUUAUUAAGAAUAUACUUUUAUUGCUAAUAUGGGAGGGACUUUAUAUGCGGUUAGCUUUAAGGUAAUUAAAUAAGUAUAUUACUGUAUUUAAUAUUUAAAAAGUAAAUUUUAAACAAAAUGUAAAAUUAUAUUUGUUAUAAUUAAUAUAUUGCAGUAAACUGUUUUUAUAAUAAGGUAUAAUAAGUGAAAAAAUCGACUAUUUGGCGUAGUAAUUGAAGUUUUCAACAACUGGGAUAAAACUUCUAUUAUUAUUAUUAAUAUGUAAAAUUAACCAAAUUAUAUAAUUUAUUACUAGGAAAAGAUUUUAAAAUGGACUUUAUUAAUAUAAUAACAAACCUGUUUUAUAUUAAUUAUAUUUCAAAUAUAAAACUUUUCAUUAUUUAUUAAUUGUUUAGUAUUAGUUUUCUAGCGUUCGCUAUAACCUUUACAAAUUAUUAAAAAUUAAAGUGGGAGAAUAUAUAAUAUUAUUUAAUUUCUUCUCUAUAUAUAAUUUCUUUAGGCAGUAGUUAUUAAAAUGGGUAUAACCCCAACGAAUUUCCCUGGUAAAAGUCCAACUUUUUCAUCGUAAUAUAAAAUUUCCUUUAUUUUACCAAACUUUCUCUGGCUUUAUAUAUUUUAUAUUUCCUCGAUGUUCAAUCUUGGUUUUGUUUAUUUAUCACCAAUUUUCGAACUUUAAACUAAAUUAUCUAAUUAAGCGGAAAUUCAACUGUUUGUUAAUAUAAUCUUACCACGUAUUUUAAUCCCCUUUUUGUUAAUUAUUAUUAUUAAAAUGUUACUAAUAACCCCUGCGGCCUAUAAAAUAUAAUAUUUAAUCGAACUUUUUUAGGGUUUUAUUAUUGCGAUAAAUUUGUUUAAAUUAUCCGGGUUGCAGUAUAUUAGGUGUUUUGGCUGCUAAAAUACGUAAUACUAGGCGUUAAUACUUCGAGUUGGACGCGGAAAUCGAGGGUUCUAAAACACAAAUUUACACGGAAUAGGCUAAUUUAAUUCCUUUGCAAAAAUAUAAAAAUGUAAUAACGUGACAAAAAAAGAAUAAAACUUGUAAUAUACGAAAUUAAUAAUUAGAAAACAAGUGAAAUAUAAAGAAUAAAGCGGAGGGAACGGCAAUUAAUAAUUAAAAUUUUAUUUAAAGUAAUUUUAAUUUUAUUCCUUUUAAAUUUUAAUUUUAUUUGGGAUUUGACUUUCCUAACAAAUUUGCUAAAGUUUCUUUUGCUGAAACAAAUAAAGGUUUUUAUAAAAUAUUUUACGAGUAAAUCCUUGAUAAGUUGUCCUCUAAUAUUAAUAAAUUUAUUUUUGAAUCCAAUUUGUAUUUAUAUUAACAGAAGAGCUCCUAACAAUUUUGGAAAUAAUUAAACAAUUCCUAGCAUUUUCUAAUAUUAGUAAUUUUCCCAUUUAAUAUAAUAUUUUAUUUUGCCGUAAUACCUUUUAUAAUUAAAUAUUUGCUUAAUAUUACAAAUUUAUUUUACUUUGGUUUUGGUUAACCUUUACGUAUUAAUAAUAGACGGUAUUUAUUCUAAUAAUAGCUUAUAAAAUAUCAUGUGGACUUUUAAUAGUUGGUUGUAGUAAUUUCUAAUUAGUGCUAUUAUUUUUGUUAAACUAUAGCAUAUUUACACUUUUUAAAAUUUAUUUCCUAUUGAAUUCCUAUAUUAUUAUAUUAUAUUAAAAUUAAAACCGGUAAUACACCGGUUUAAUUAUUAAAAGCCCGCUUAUAUAUACGUUACCCUCGCAAUAUAUAUUUUGGAAACGCAUUUUCUAAUAAAUGGUGCGUAUUUUUAAUAAUUAAAAUUUAUAUACUUUACACCCAAAAUACGUUACCAGGCCAGAAGUUUUACACAGACUUCCACAAUUUUAAAAAAGGGAAAUAUACCCAAGAAUUUAUAACCCGCAAUAAUAAUUUUGCGUUUAAUAAUAAAAAAUAUAAUAUAGGGUAUAUAUUUAUUUAAUUUCCCGGAAUAUAAUAAAAAGGUUUUUACAAAUUCGUUACAGGAAAAAGAAAUAACGGCUAAUAUACUUCAAACCGCGGUCCUCGAAAGGUGAAACUUAUUAUCAAAAAUCGAAUAAUUUCUCUGAAUAAAUUUUGCGGUAUUAACCGAUUUAAUACGCAACUUAUAUUAAUACGAACUGGGUUUUUAUAAAAAGAAUAUUAAUAUUUAUAAAAAAGCCCCACAAUAAUAAAUCUGCAAUACGCAAUUAGGUUUUCUCAAAAAUAACUUACGUGGUAUCGAAAGUUUAAUAAAUUAUAUUUAUAUUUAUAUUAAUUUAUCUUCGAAUAAAGGUGAAAAAUAAUACAGAGUUACUAUACUGCCCUAAAAUUAAAUACGAAAAGUUAAAUUAAAAUUAACAAAUUAAUUUAACUUGAAUUAUUUAAAUAUUCUUUUAUAUUUUAAAAUACAAUUCUCAAUAUAAACUUAAUAUUUAUAUAAUUAAUAUUUAUUUACUAAACUUAUAAUACGGUAUUAUAUAAGUAUAUAUUUAUUAAAUUUGUAUUUAUUUAUGCUAAAAUAUAUUUUUCACCUCUUUUACUUCGUUUUCCUAUUUAAAUAAAUUAUUUAUAUUAUAAUUUUUAAUAAUAUUAAUUUUGUUUCAAAACAUUUCUACUUAAUAUAUUACGUGCGGGGGUAAUUAUAAUUAUAAUAAUAUAAAAUAUAACUUUUAUUAUAACCGGUGUAAUUGGAAUAUUGAAAUAUUUUCGUGCUAAGAGGUUUAAUAUAAAAUAUCGGUUUUUAUUAUUUUUUCAAAAUAAUAAUAUAUAACCUUUCCGUAUAACUGCGAAUUUGGAUAUAAAAUAUAUUUGGGGUAUUUUAAUUAUUUUGUACCUUGUAAUAAAUCGAGGUCCAAAUUGUUAUAAUUGCUAUAAAAAGUAUUAUUUAAAUUAUUAAAUAAGGAAUUCUCCAUAUUAUUACUAGUAUUUA
RNAcentral lists this small RNA (4603 nucleotides) under Pyricularia oryzae. Its description in RNAcentral is "Magnaporthe oryzae sRNA M_BR32_EuGene_00108951". Lineage: Eukaryota; Fungi; Ascomycota; Sordariomycetes; Magnaporthales; Pyriculariaceae. The record is from RNAcentral.